Misgurnus anguillicaudatus (oriental weatherfish) is the source of this 693-nucleotide non-coding RNA. The record is from the annotation of a RefSeq genome assembly. Lineage: Eukaryota; Metazoa; Chordata; Actinopteri; Cypriniformes; Cobitidae.
AUUUACUUAGUACAGGAUUGGGGUUUGGUUUAGGGUUAGUUGAAUGUAAUUAUGCAUAAUUUACUGUAAGAAUUACAUGUGUAAGGCACUGUAAAAUAAAGUGUUAUCAUUAUUGUUUUUACAAUAACCAAUCAUUUUCAACCUGACAAACAGUAUUUCAAUGAAAUAAAAUACUUAACGCCAUAAUGUGAAUAUGAACUUUCACCUUAAAAGAGAAAAAUGAUAUUAGCCGUAUAAUUCAGCCAUAUGAUCAAAUAACCUUAAAAUUAUUCAGGAGAACCAAAUAGUUAUUAUUUAUUAUCAAGAUAUUUUAUGUUUAACACAGAUUCUUGUGUGAGUUAUUGAUUAUUGAUGUGAUUGUCAGCCAACAGUCCCCCUAAAGUGAGCGUCCUGCCGCCGUCCAGUGAAGAGAUUUCCACAAAGCAAGCAGCAACACUGAUGUGUGUGGCCAACAAGGGCUUCCCCUCAGACUGGAGUCUGAACUGGAAGGUGGACGGGAUCAGCAGCAGGUCUCAGUACAGCAGUGUUGCUCUCCUGGAGAAGGACGGUCUGUACAGCUGGAGCAGCAGUCUGACUCUCUCUGAGCAGGAGUGGAGCUCAGUGAUCUCAGUCAGCUGUGAGCUCACACAGAAAGACCAGCGUGAUAAAGUCACUGGAGAAUUGAGGAGAGAUCAGUGUUCACAGUAGAUCCAC